Molecule: ribosomal RNA, 601 nt
Filed under: Blastocystis sp.
Lineage: Eukaryota; Bigyra; Opalinata; Blastocystidae
Description: SSU rRNA
Rfam family: Eukaryotic small subunit ribosomal RNA
Source: RNAcentral
UGGGGUUGGAGUAUUAAAACGCAUACAUGUCUAAGUAUAAGCAUUAUACACUGAGACUGUGAAUGGGUCAUUAUAUCACUCAUCUUUUAUUUGAUAUUACAUUACUACUUGUAUAACCGCGGUGAUUCUAGAGCUAAUACAUGCUGAAACGGCCGGGUUCCCGGGUGGUGUAUAUUAUAUAAAAAACCAAUGUCCUCGGGCUCUAUGGUGAAUCAUAAUAACUUGACAAAUCUCAUGGUCUUGUGCCCGCGAUGGUUCAUUCGAAUUUCUGCCCUAUCGACUUUCCAUGGUAGGAUAGAGGGCUACCGUGGUUUUAAGGGGUAACGGGGAAUCAGGGAUCGAUUCCGGAAAGGGAGCCUGAGAAACGGAUACCACAUCCCACGAAGGCAGGAAGGGCGCAAAUUACCCAAUCCUGACACACGGAGGCAGUGACGAUAAAUAACUAUACAGGGACUAUUAGGCCUCGCAAUUGGAGUGAGAACAAUUUAAAUACCUUAACGACGAACAAUAGGAGGGCAAGUCUGGUGCCAGUGGCCGCGGCAAUUCCAGCUCUGAUAGCAUAUAUUAACGUUGUUGCCGUUGAAAAGCUCAAAAAGCUCAA